This 1382-nucleotide ribosomal RNA is filed under the name uncultured bacterium. RNAcentral's name for it is "partial 16S ribosomal RNA". It matches the Rfam family "Bacterial small subunit ribosomal RNA". The record is from RNAcentral.
AGAGUUUGAUCCAUGGCUCAGGAUGAACGCUGGCGGCGUGCUUAACACAUGCAAGUCGAACGAUGAAGCCCUGCUUGCAGGGUGGAUUAGUGGCGAACGGGUGAGUAACACGUGAGUAACCUGCCCCUGACUCUGGGAUAAGCCCGGGAAACUGGGUCUAAUACCGGAUAUGACUUCCUACUGCAUGGUGGGUUGUUGAAAGAUUUAUCGGUGGGGGAUGGACUCGCGGCCUAUCAGCUUGUUGGUGAGGUAAUGGCUCACCAAGGCGACGACGGGUAGCCGGCCUGAGAGGGUGACCGGCCACACUGGGACUGAGACACGGCCCAGACUCCUACGGGAGGCAGCAGUGGGGAAUAUUGCACAAUGGGCGGAAGCCUGAUGCAGCGACGCCGCGUGAGGGAUGACGGCCUUCGGGUUGUAAACCUCUUUCAGUAGGGAAGAAGCGAAAGUGACGGUACCUGCAGAAGAAGCGCCGGCUAACUACGUGCCAGCAGCCGCGGUAAUACGUAGGGCGCAAGCGUUAUCCGGAUUUAUUGGGCGUAAAGAGCUCGUAGGCGGUUUGUCGCGUCUGCCGUGAAGGUCCGAGGCUCAACCUCGGAUCUGCGGUGGGUACGGGCAGACUAGAGUGAUGUAGGGGAGACUGGAAUUCCUGGUGUAGCGGUGAAAUGCGCAGAUAUCAGGAGGAACACCGAUGGCGAAGGCAGGUCUCUGGGCAUUUACUGACGCAGCUAACGCAUUAAGUUCCCCGCCUGGGGAGUACGGCCGCAAGGCUAAAACUCAAAGGAAUUGACGGGGACCCGCACAAGCGGCGGAGCAUGCGGAUUAAUUCGAUGCAACGCGAAGAACCUUACCAAGGCUUGACAUACACGAGAACGGGCCAGAAAUGGUCAACUCUCUGGACACUCGUGAACAGGUGGUGCAUGGUUGUCGUCAGCUCGUGUCGUGAGAUGUUGGGUUAAGUCCCGCAACGAGCGCAACCCUCGUUCUAUGUUGCCAGCACGUAAUGGUGGGAACUCAUGGGAUACUGCCGGGGUCAACUCGGAGGAAGGUGGGGAUGACGUCAAAUCAUCAUGCCCCUUAUGUCUUGGGCUUCACGCAUGCUACAAUGGCCGGUACAAAGGGCUGCAAUACCGCGAGGUGGAGCGAAUCCCAAAAAGCCGGUCCCAGUUCGGAUUGAGGUCUGCAACUCGACCUCAUGAAGUCGGAGUCGCUAGUAAUCGCAGAUCAGCAACGCUGCGGUGAAUACGUUCCCGGGUCUUGUACACACCGCCCGUCAAGUCAUGAAAGUCGGUAACACCUGAAGCCGGUGGCCCAACCCUUGUGGAGGGAGCCGUCGAAGGUGGGAUCGGUAAUUAGGACUAAGUCGUAACAAGGUAACCGUA